Molecule: ribosomal RNA, 451 nt
Filed under: uncultured bacterium
Lineage: Bacteria
Description: partial 16S ribosomal RNA
Rfam family: Bacterial small subunit ribosomal RNA
Source: RNAcentral
AACGAACGCUGGCGGCAGGUCUUAGGCAUGCAAGUCGAACGGGUGUAGUAAUACACCAGUGGCGAACGAGUGAGUAACGCGUGGGAAUCAGCCCAUCUCUGGGGAAUAACGAUUGGAAACGAACGCUAAUACCGCAUACGCACGCAAGGGGAAAGAUUUAUCGGGGAUGGAUGAGGCCGCGUUGGAUUAGUUAGGUGGUGGGGUAACGGCCUACCAAGGCGAUGAUCCAUAGCUGGUAUGAGAGGAAGAUCAGCCACGCUGGAACUGAGGUACGGUCCAGACUCAUAUGAGAGGCAGCAGCUAAGAAUAUUGGGCAAUGGAGGAAACUCUGACCCAGCCAUGCCGCGUGAAUGAAGAAGGCCUUCGGGUUGUAAAGUUCUUUUAGUCGUGACGAUGAUGACGGUAGCGACAGAAAAAGCACCGGCUAACUUCGUGCCAGCCGCCGCGGUAA